AUGGCAGGUGGGUAUGCCCAGGGGCCCUGGGGUGAAACCCGUACAUAUACCCACCCCAGGCCAGACUGCCUUCAUCCUGUCUGUUUGAUAUGGCAGGUGGGUAUGCCCAGGGGCCCUGGGGUGAAACCCGUACAUCUACUUACCCCCAGGCUAGACUGCCUUCGUCUUGUCUGUUUGAUGUGGCAGGUGGGUAUGCCCAGGGGCCCUGGGGUGAAACCCGUACAUCUACUUACCCCCAGGCUAGACUGCCUUCAUCCUGUCUGUUUAAUAUGGCAGGUGGGUAUGCCCAGGGGCCCUGGCGUGAAACCCGUACAUCUACUUACCCCCAGGCUAGACUGCCUUCAUCCUGUCUGUUUAAUAUGGCAGGUGGGUAUGCCCAGGGGCCCUGGCGUGAAACCCGUACAUCUACUUACCCCCAGGCCAGACUGCCUUCAUCCUGUCUGUUUGAUAUGGCUGGUGGGUAUGCCCAGGGGCCCUGGGGUGAAACCCGUACAUCUACUUACCCCCAGGCUAGACUGCCGUCAUCUUGUCUGUUUGAUGUGGCAGGUGGGGGAGAAUUACCAAGAGGUCAUCACACAGGCCAUGGACAAGUUCUACAAGAGCCAGGUAGAAGAGCACUGUCCUGGCAUGCUGCCCAGCACCCCACUCACACCCAUCUCACUUGACAGCUUCCUCGAAGCAGACCUUGAAAGUCCAGGCUCCCUGAGAAGCCUGGGGAGGAGACUCUGCUGGGCUAAAGAACCUACCCCCAAAGGUGCCACCCUCACCAGUGUCAUCCUGACAAUCUUGGAUUAUUAUUGCCCUGAAGUUUUGGAGUGGGGGACAGACAGGAGAGUGCCCAUUAGCCACCUUUCCAGAGAGCAUCAGCCCUCCAGACUGGGGCAGCUCAGACCUCCAUGCAGGCAUUUUUUUCCUCACUGGUUGCCAGUGGGGAAAACAGCACUUGUGAGCACCUGCCUGUCUUCCCAGGCCCUGUUCAGAAACCCCAUCUGUGCCUUUGGAGAGAGACUACCCCAAGCACGCAGGCCAGCAACUGCAUCUACGGCCUUCAGGACCUGCUCCACUUCCAUAGGGGGUUCACUGCAUGUGAGUAUAUGGUGGGCUCAAUUCCUGCCCAGUAGCCCCUGCCAGAUAACCCAUGCCCACCUCAUUAAGAGAAUGAGGCCACACAGACCCACCCAGGCCGUUGUGGUGAGGGGGUGGCUGGGGCCCUACUUGCCCACCCUUCAUUGCUGCGUCAGGGCCAACUGUCCAACCACAUUCCUGCCCUGA
RNAcentral lists this long non-coding RNA (1272 nucleotides) under Callithrix jacchus (white-tufted-ear marmoset). Its description in RNAcentral is "lncRNA (ENSCJAG00000077006.1)". The record is from RNAcentral. Lineage: Eukaryota; Metazoa; Chordata; Mammalia; Primates; Cebidae.